GACGAACGCUGGCGGCGUGCUUAACACAUGCAAGUCGAACGGAAAGGCCUCUUUCGGGGGGUACUCGAGUGGCGAACGGGUGAGUAACACGUGAGUAACCUGCCCUUGACUUUGGGAUAACUUCAGGAAACUGGGGCUAAUACCGGAUAGGAGCUCCUGCUGCAUGGUGGGGGUUGGAAAGUUUCGGCGGUUGGGGAUGGACUCGCGGCUUAUCAGCUUGUUGGUGGGGUAGUGGCUUACCAAGGCUUUGACGGGUAGCCGGCCUGAGAGGGUGACCGGCCACAUUGGGACUGAGAUACGGCCCAGACUCCGACGGGAGGCAGCAGUGGGGAAUAUUGCACAAGGGGUGGAAGCCGGAUGCAGCAACGCCGUGGGCGGGAUGACGGCCUUCGGGUUGUAAACCGCUUUCGCUCAUGACGAAGCUUUGUGUGACGGUAGUGGGUAAAGAAGCACCGGCUAACUACGUG
RNAcentral lists this ribosomal RNA (467 nucleotides) under uncultured bacterium. RNAcentral's name for it is "partial 16S ribosomal RNA". It matches the Rfam family "Bacterial small subunit ribosomal RNA", at positions 28 to 507 of the family's 1533-position model. The record is from RNAcentral.